This 475-nucleotide ribosomal RNA is filed under the name uncultured Chloroflexota bacterium. RNAcentral's name for it is "bacterial SSU rRNA". It matches the Rfam family "Bacterial small subunit ribosomal RNA", at positions 8 to 522 of the family's 1533-position model. The record is from RNAcentral. Lineage: Bacteria; Bacillati; Chloroflexota.
AGAGUUUGAUCAUGGCUCAGGACGAACGCUGGCGGCGUGCCUAAUGCAUGCAAGUCGCACGCAGGGUGCUUGCACUCUGAGUGGCGCACGGCUGAGGACCACGUGGGAACAUGCCUCCUUGUGGGGGACAACACCGCGAAAGCGGUGCUAAUCCCGCAUACGCUCUUGUAAGAGAGGAAAGCCGUAAGGCGCAGGGAGAGUGGCCCGCGGCCCAUCAGGUCGUAGGUGGGGUAACGGCCUACCUAGCCAAUGACGGGUAGCUGGUCUGUGAGGACAGACAGCCAGACUGGGACUGAGACACGGCCCAGACUCCUACGGGAGGCAGCAGCAAGGAAUUUUCGUCAAUGGGCGCAAGCCUGAACGAGCAACGCCGCGUGGAGGAUGACGGCCUUCGGGUUGUAAACUCCUUUUUCGGGGGACGAUAAUGACGGUACCCCGGGAAUAGGCUGGCUAACUUGUGCCAGCAGCCGCGGUA